GACGAACGCUGGCGGCGUGCUUAACACAUGCAAGUCGAACGGAAAGGCCCUGCUUUUGUGGGGUGCUCGAGUGGCGAACGGGUGAGUAACACGUGAGCAACCUGCCCUUGACUUUGGGAUAACUUCAGGAAACUGGGGCUAAUACCGGAUAGGAGCUCCUGCUGCAUGGUGGGGGUUGGAAAGUUUCGGCGGUUGGGGAUGGACUCGCGGCUUAUCAGCUUGUUGGUGGGGUAGUGGCUUACCAAGGCUUUGACGGGUAGCCGGCCUGAGAGGGUGACCGGCCAAAUUGGGAAUGAGAUACGGCCCAGACUCCUACGGGAGGCAGCAGGGGGGAAUAUUGCAAAAUGGGCGGAAGCCUGAUGCAGCAACGCCGCGUGCGGGAUGACGGCCUUCGGGUUGUAAACCGCUUUCGCCUGUGACGAAGCGUGAGUGACGGUAAUGGGUAAAGAAGCACCGGCUAACUACGUG
RNAcentral lists this ribosomal RNA (468 nucleotides) under uncultured bacterium. RNAcentral describes it as "partial 16S ribosomal RNA". It matches the Rfam family "Bacterial small subunit ribosomal RNA", at positions 28 to 507 of the family's 1533-position model. The record is from RNAcentral.